GUAUUAUUGAAAAUGUGAAGUCUCCAGCGUAAUUUCUCUAUUCCUUUUUUUUUUCAUGAGAGGAGACCGAUCAACAAGGGAAAAAGGCUUUUUUCCAUCAGUUAACACAGUAUGCGGUAAGAAUUGAUAGAUUAAUACCUUUUUCUUUACUUUUUUUCCGUGUUAUCACGCAUAAUUUCUUCAUUUCAUCCUAUCACUCGUGUCAGAUUUGGCUCAGCAGAAGCAAAGGUACGUACUAACUCUAAAUAUGCCGCUAGCUAAAUAUGCCGCUCACAUAUAAAUUUAAAUAUACCGCUAGUUGGGUGUAAGAUUCGAUGUUGAUAAGGAAGAGUUAUAAAAAUAACAAACUGCUAUCUUAUAUAAAUAAAGUAUCAAUAAUCAGAAAGAAAAUACUGGAUUAACUAAUGAAAUAAUUAAAAGUUACUAUAUGUCGUCAAUCAUGUGAACAUGUAAGUGUAUUUCAAAGAUAUUAUUUACCACAGAAUAAUUAUUCGAACAUGUUUACACCGCGCCAGCCUCUUUACUGAUCCUGUUUAAAGUUACAGGAUGUGUUAUCUUCUCUUCCUGCACCUGCUAUUGAUUCUGCCUUUGCUGGAAUUUGGAUCCACAGUAUGGAACACACGGUGCCACUGAAACAUCUUGAAUCUCUGCAACCAAAUUGGAGAAAAGAAAUGAGCGGCCUAUCCAAAUUACGUUAUGCCAACCACUUCAAACUCCCAACUAGUACUCCGUGCAGGGAAGGCUCAUUACUGCCGAUCUUAUCAAAUACUGCAAGAUUUUUCACUACUCGGCGAUACUAGCACAUGACCCCUUAACAAAGUCUCCAUUAACUCACACCAGAGGUCGCCAAUUCCAAAGUGGCAAGCCCCAAUCCCCGCGUAUCGGUAGAGACCAGACACUCAGAGGAUUCCCAACAAUACCUAUUAUCAGAUACCAACAAGAAUGGACAGUCACCUUGCUAUGUCCAACAGACUCCUCCAGAAGCAAGGAACUGCCAGUCCAGUACAUCACAGGAGGCAUUGCUAUUGGGCGGCAAAAAAAAUUCACCCUUCAGGAAGAUAUUUGACCACAGGUGUGUGUGCACGUGUGCGUGUGUGUGUGAAUUAAGAUUGAGGAGAAAGUAGAAAGUGGAUGGAAGGAUGGAACUGCAAAGGAUGGGAGUCAGAGGUGAAGGUGCAAGGGACAUGCAAUGAUGCAAUAUUCCUUUUUAAUCUUCCCUGUAAAAUUUAAUCUUAUAAAAUCCUGAUGUGCCUUCAUUCCAUACAGCCUGCAUUUUACUACUACAUUAUUACACAACAUAAAAGCAUAAUACACUUCAGCUUUUUCCACAAUGACAAUAUUUCUUUUCAAUCUUCCGUACCAGACUUUCUUUCUCUACAAAUCCUUAUUCUUCCCACAGUCUGCAGAAGAUGUGCGAGUCAGGCCUGAUGAACAAGCUGAGGACCAAAUGGCUAUCAGCAGGAACCUCAACAUGUGGCAGGAAGACUAAAAAUCACAGCCAGCCUCUCUGAUGUGGCUGCAGUCUUCAUCCUCUUGAUGGGUGGUGCAGCAUUUAGCUGUCUGCUGCUGCUGCUGCUGCUGCUGCUGCUGCUGCUGCUGGAGUAUGUGGUGGGCAGUGCUGCAGGUGUGAAAUCAUGGCUUGUAUUCUGAAAUGCUCUGCUCUCUCACCAUGACCAUUUUCAGAGGCCACAUAGAUGGGUUCUCAAGGUUUCUCCUGUUGAUAAAUUUUAAAUCUUGUCAAUUUGGCAUUAGACCUGUAUAAGCACUCUUAACAUUUGUGUACCUUCAUCUAGAGGCUUUUGAAAGCAGUGGAGGUGAAAUUUAGAAGACCUAACACUUGAAAGCAACAAUGAUAACCUUCAGUUCUAUCUACCUAGUACAGUAUAUGGACCGGCUGACAAACCCACACAGGGAUGCCAAGGCAAAGCACAUAACAUACCUUAACGAUUGAAAGUCUAACAUAUCCUGCCGUGUACAUAAGAGCAUAAGGGAAGCUGCAAGACUACACUAGGCAGGCCCUCUAUAAAGCAUAUUUACCACACUUACAGGUACAACAUGCAAGACAGAGGUGGUGGAUGAUGAGUUCCUGGGGAUUGCUGACCUCAAUGAAGCACAGACAUAACAAGAGACGGGAGACCUGCACUGUUAAAGCCUUAAGCAUUCUAAUCACAUUCCAUGUAACUCUCUUCACUCUUAGAUCCCUUAUUGGGUAUUCUUAUGUAUAGUUGCUCGCAAAUAUGGAGUUUAGUUAUAA
Molecule: long non-coding RNA, 2254 nt
Organism: Scylla paramamosain (green mud crab)
Lineage: Eukaryota; Metazoa; Arthropoda; Malacostraca; Decapoda; Portunidae
Exons: 4
Source: RefSeq, a predicted model, not a curated record